AAACAAAAAACAAAACACAACGGCAUGGGAGAGCAACCUGGAGAGACUCUGAUAGCUCAGGUCAGCCCAAUACCUGUGGCUGCCACUCACUUUUCCUAUACAA
Molecule: small nucleolar RNA, 103 nt
Filed under: Octodon degus (degu)
Lineage: Eukaryota; Metazoa; Chordata; Mammalia; Rodentia; Octodontidae
Description: Small nucleolar RNA SNORA44 (ENSODEG00000022473.1)
Rfam family: Small nucleolar RNA SNORA44 (bases 18-96)
About the family: ACA44 is a member of the H/ACA class of snoRNA that guide the sites of modification of uridines to pseudouridines.
Source: RNAcentral